GACGAACGCUGGCGGCGUGCUUAACACAUGCAAGUCGAACGAAGAGCGAUGGAAGCUUGCCUCUAUCAAUCUUAGUGGCGAACGGGUGAGUAACGCGUAAUCAACCUUCCCUUCAGAGGGGGACAACAGUUGGAAACGACUGCUAAUACCGCAUACGAUCUAAUCUCGGCAUCUAGGAAAGAUGAAAGGUGUCCUCUAUUUAUAAGCCCUCUCUGAAGGAGGGGAUUGCGUCUGAUUAGCCAGUUGGAGGGGUAACGUCCCACCAAGGCGAUGAUCAGUAGCCGGGCUGGGAGGAUGAACGGCCACAUUGGGACUGAGACACGGCCCAGACUCCUACGGGAGGCAGCAGGGGGGAAUCUUCCGAAAUGGACGAAAGUCUGACGGAGCAACGCCGCGUGAGUGAUGACGGCCUUCGGGUUGUAAAGCUCUGUUAAUCGGGACGAAAGGCCUUCUUGCGAACAGUUAGAAGGAUUGACGGUACCGGAAUAGAAAGCCACGGCUAACUACGUG
This 510-nucleotide ribosomal RNA is filed under the name uncultured bacterium. RNAcentral's name for it is "partial 16S ribosomal RNA". It matches the Rfam family "Bacterial small subunit ribosomal RNA", at positions 28 to 507 of the family's 1533-position model. The record is from RNAcentral.